Molecule: transfer RNA, 84 nt
Filed under: Candidatus Zixiibacteriota bacterium
Lineage: Bacteria; Pseudomonadati; Candidatus Zixiibacteriota
Description: tRNA-Leu
Rfam family: tRNA
About the family: Transfer RNA (tRNA) molecules are approximately 80 nucleotides in length.
Source: RNAcentral
GCCGGAGUGGUGAAAUUGGUAGACGCACGGGACUCAAAAUCCCGCGGUAGCAAUACCGUGCCGGUUCGAUUCCGGCCUCCGGCA